GAUGAACGCUGGCGGCGUGCCUAACACAUGCAAGUCGAGCGAUCUUCUUCGGAAGAGAGCGGCAGACGGGUGAGUAACGCGUGGGUAACCUGCCUCAUACACAUGGAUAACAUACCGAAAGGUAUGCUAAUACAAGAUAAUAUAAGAGAUUCGCAUGGAUUUCUUAUCAAAGCUCCGGCGGUAUGAGAUGGACCCGCGUCUGAUUAGCUAGUUGGUAAGGUAACGGCUUACCAAGGCGACGAUCAGUAGCCGACCUGAGAGGGUGAUGCGGCCACAUUGGAACUGAGACUCGGUCCAAACUCCUACGGGAGGCAGCAGUGGGGAAUAUUGCACAAUGGGCGAAAGCCUGAUGCAGUAACGCCGCGUGAGCGAUGAAGGCCUUCGGGUCGUAAAGCUCUGUCCUCAAGGAAGAUAAUGACGGUACUUGAGGAGGAAGCCCCGGCUAACUACGUGCCAGCCGCCGCCGUAA
This 469-nucleotide ribosomal RNA is filed under the name uncultured bacterium. RNAcentral describes it as "partial 16S ribosomal RNA". It matches the Rfam family "Bacterial small subunit ribosomal RNA", at positions 28 to 523 of the family's 1533-position model. The record is from RNAcentral.